RNAcentral lists this ribosomal RNA (450 nucleotides) under uncultured bacterium. RNAcentral's name for it is "bacterial SSU rRNA". It matches the Rfam family "Bacterial small subunit ribosomal RNA", at positions 354 to 796 of the family's 1533-position model. The record is from RNAcentral.
GUGGGGAAUAUUGCGCAAUGGGCGAAAGCCUGACGCAGCCAUGCCGCGUGUGUGAAGAAGGCCUUCGGGUUGUAAAGCACUUUCAGUGGGGAGGAAAGGCGCAGGGCGAAUACCCCUGAGCGGUGACGCUACCCACAGAAGAAGCACCGGCUAAUUCCGUGCCAGCAGCCGCGGUAAUACGGAAGGUGCAAGCGUUAAUCGGAAUUACUGGGCGUAAAGCGCGCGUAGGCGGCUUGGUAAGUCGGGUGUGAAAGCCCCGGGCUCAACCUGGGAACGGCACUCGAUACUGCUGGGCUGGAGUACGAGAGAGGGGGGUGGAAUUCCAGGUGUAGCGGUGAAAUGCGUAGAGAUCUGGAGGAACACCGGUGGCGAAGGCGGCCCCCUGGCUCGAUACUGACGCUGAGGUGCGAAAGCGUGGGGAGCAAACAGGAUUAGAAACCCGGGUAGUCC